Molecule: ribosomal RNA, 253 nt
Filed under: uncultured bacterium
Lineage: Bacteria
Description: partial 16S ribosomal RNA
Rfam family: Bacterial small subunit ribosomal RNA
Source: RNAcentral
UACGUAGGGUGCGAGCGUUAAUCGGAAUUACUGGGCGUAAAGCGUGCGCAGGCGGUUUGUUGUGUCUGAUGUGAAAGCCCCGGGCUUAACCUGGGAAUGGCAUUGGAAACUGGCAAGCUGGAGUGUGGCAGAGGGGGGUGGAAUUCCGCGUGUAGCAGUGAAAUGCGUAGAGAUGCGGAGGAACACCGAUGGCGAAGGCGGCCCCCUGGUCGGAUACUGACGCUGAGACGCGAAAGCGUGGGGAGCAAACAGG